This is an RNA transcript of Salvelinus fontinalis (brook trout), 5206 nucleotides long. It is a transcript of the gene named leucine-rich repeat transmembrane neuronal protein 2-like, with no coding region annotated. NCBI's taxonomy places the organism in Eukaryota, Metazoa, Chordata, Actinopteri, Salmoniformes, Salmonidae. The record is from RefSeq and is a predicted model, not a curated record. The transcript has 3 exons.
CCUCUCUCCCUUCUCCAGGAGUCCAGAGAUUCAUAAGAGCCAUUCGUUUAAUAAUUCUAUGUAGUUUAUGUCUAGCGUGUGUAGUACACACACACACACACACAAACAGGCAAGGCUCAGAUUUAGUUAGUCCUGGUUGGUUCCAACAGGAAGCUGCCGCAACACGUUGGAGUUAUCAAUAUUCUGUUGGUGACGAGUCAGAGGAAACGAGGGAAGACGAGAAGGGGGGAAAAAAGACGUGGAGAGGGAGGAGGAACGAGGCUCGAACACUGUGCGCAAGUGUGCAAGGCAGAAAAGCAAGCGAGUGAGCGAGCAAGCGAGAGAGAGAGAGAGAGAGAAACAGCACUGAUGAUCGACGCCAGGCUGCCACCACUCUGUAGUGGUGAGUGGCUGCAACAAAAGCACAGAAUAACAUCCCUGGCUUUUCGCUCGUCUUUUCUCUCUGCCACUGGCUGCCUGCGUCGUUAGCCGGCUGCUCGGAACGCCCAGAGCCUAUAGGAGAAGAGCAGCACGCUGAUCGCUGCAGUAGGCUGUGUUGCCACCACGGACCGACUAACCCAACGGCUCUCUGCCUGACAUCAACAAGUUAGGGACUGGACGGUUAAGGGAAGGAGAGGACCCACCCCCAACUAAGAGGGGCACCAUUUGAUCCUCAAUUAACCAAUUGAGCUGACAUCAUUGCAGUGGAAGACGAAAGAGAACGAAGGGAACAAAAAAUAAAAAAGGAGGGGGGGGGUGAAACAGCAGCGAGCGGCUGCAUUCCCAGGGCGCUUUGGAUGCAAAUCAAAAAAAAAAAAUAACUAUUGAUAAAAUAAAAAUGCACCUUUUUUUGCUAAUGUGGGAUUAAAACUACAUAAGGAAAGAGGACAAAUAGAAAGCGACAACAUCGACAUGGGAUUUGUGAUUUUGUUUCAAUUGGGAGGGCUCCAGAGCGUCGCUGCCACUUUCUUAUUUCAGGAAGAGAAGAGCCCGGUUCCUUUUGUGAUUUCUACUCAAAAGGGCUUUUCUUUCCUCCCUUUGGAUUUGUGUUCCUUCUGGCUGCUUCGGGAGUCCGCUGUAGAAAAGGACAGUUGAAUGCAGCCUCCGACGUGCACAAAAGAAUGGGUUUCCAUUCAAGGUGGCCAUUGGUGGGACCUGCACCAGCGGCAUUGUGCCUGUGUGUGAUCAGCAUGCUGCUGUGCCUGCUGUCUCCUGCGUCAUGCACAACCUGCCCCCAGAAAUGCCGCUGCGAGGACCAGCAGUUCUACUGCGACACUCAGGGGCUGGAGGCACCCCCGGAUGGCGUUGACCGGGGGGCUCUGGGGUUGUCGCUCCGCCACAACAGCAUCGCUGAACUGAGCCCGGACCAGUUCUAUGGCUUCUCCCAGCUCACCUGGCUUCACCUGGACCACAACCAGGUCACCGCGGUGCAGGAGGACGCCUUCCAGGGUCUCUAUAAACUCAAAGACCUCAACCUGAGCUCCAACCGGAUCACAACGCUACCAAACACAACCUUCAUCCACCUCAUCAACCUACAGAUCCUGGACCUGUCCUUCAACCUGAUGACUGCGCUGGAGCCUGAGCUGUUCCAUGGCCUUCGCAAACUGCAGAUCCUCCACCUGCGCUCCAACUCGCUGCGCACCACCCCCGUCCGGGCCUUCUGGGACUGCCGCAGCCUUGAGUACCUGGGUCUGUCCAAUAACCGGCUGCGGAGCCUGGCCCGGAACGGCUUCGCUGGCCUCAUUAAGCUCAGAGAACUCCACUUGGAACACAACCAGCUGACUAAGAUCAACCUGGCUCACUUCCCCCGCCUGGUGGCUUUGCAAUUCCUUUACCUGCAGUGGAACAAGAUCUCCAACCUGACCUGCGGUAUGGAGUGGACCUGGACCACGCUGGAGAAGAUGGACCUCACGGGGAACGAGAUCCGGGUGCUGACCCCGGACGUGUUCGAGACGCUGCCCAACCUGAAGAUCCUCCUACUGGAUAACAACAAGCUAGGCAGCAUGGACCCUCUGGUCUUGGAUAUGUGGCGGUCUCUAGGUACCGUGGGGCUCUCCAGCAACCUUUGGGAUUGUACCAAACGUAUCUGCUCCCUGGCCACUUGGCUCAGCACCUUCAAGGGGAGGUGGGAACACUCCAUCCUGUGUCACACCCCCGAGUACGCCCAGGGCGAGGAGAUACUGGACGCCGUUUAUGGAUUCCAACUUUGUCUGAAUUUUACAGCGGCGCCACCUGUCGUCAUGACCACAAGCACUUUGUCAAUGGUCACGGACACGCCAACAGGCACGACGGCGGAGGUCACAAGCUUCCUAUUCGGAGUAAUGAAGCAGACACCCACGCAGAACUUCUAUGGGGAUUUUGGGCGCUUUACGACCGUAACGACAACGACCGCCGCGCCGCGCACCGCCCUGGCAACCACAGUGGAGGGCGGGAGUGGAGCGGUGGGACCCCCGGAGGACUUCUCGGAGACGGACAACACGGUCCUAACCCAGAGGGUGAUCAUUGGAACGAUGGUCCUUCUGUUUACCUUCUUCCUCGUCAUUUUCGUUGUGUUCAUCUCACGGAAGUGCUGCCCUCCUACCAUGCGCAGGAUACGCCAGUGCACGGCCAUGCAGAACCGCCGCCAGAUGAGGACCCAGCAGCGGCAGCAAAUGGCGGACCUGGCCACGCAGGUACCCUAUAACGAGUACGAGCCCAGCCACGAGGAGGGAGCGCUGGUUAUCAUCAACGGCUACGGGCAGUGCAAGUGUCAACAGCUGCCUUACAAAGAGUGUGAAGUGUAAACUAUGUAUUCCUCCUGCAGCAGCAUAUGGGCUGUUUACCAUUCUGACCAUUUCAAACAAUACAGGGUUUGUUUUUUGCUUCCCCCCCCCAGUUUAUACAACAAAAAAAGCAAACUUUCUACUCGCUAGCUCUGAGAAAUCAAUGCGAUAAGUACAUUGAGUGGGAGAGUUGAUGACUGGUGGGUGGAACGGAGAGUGAAGAGACUGAUGAUGAGGAUGCAGUAGGAAUAGUCACAUUUAUUUUUAUAUGAAUGGAAGAUUGUCCAUAUCAAGCUGUGGGCAAUCGGUCUCCACAGGGAAAAAAAAAACACGGUAGACAGGUUUGUCACCACAUUACUAUCAGUCACUAUGUUCCACAGCACAGAGGAGAUGAAAUCUUUAGCCAAGAUGUCUGGAGACUAAUCCCUCUUACUACGAGACGGGCUGGGACAACAACUAGGAGAGAGGACAACAACGAGGAGAGAGGAUAACGUCCCCUUAGGGCUGGGACAACAACGAGGAGAGAAGAUAACGUCCCCUUAGGGCUGGGACAACAACGAGGAGAGAAGAUAACGUCCCCUUAGGGCUGGGACAACAACGAGGAGAGAAGAUAACGUCCCCUUAGGGCUGGGACAACAACGAGGAGAGAAGAUAACGUCCCCUUAGGGCUGGGACAACAACGAGGAGAGAAGAUAACGUCCCCUUAGGGCUGGGACAACAACGAGGAGAGAAGAUAACCACCCCUUAGGGCUGGGACAACAACGAGGAGAGAAGAUAACCACCCCUUAGGGCUGGGACAACAACGAGGAGAGAAGAUAACGUCCCCUUAGGGCUGGGACAACAACGAGGAGAGAAGAUAACGUCCCCUUAGGGCUGGGACAACAACGAGGAGAGAAGAUAACGUCCCCUUAGGGCUGGGACAACAACGAGGAGAGAAGAUAACGUCCCCUUAGGGCUGGGACAACAACGAGGAGAGAGGAUAACGUCCCCUUAGGGCUGGGACAACAACGAGGAGAGAGGAUAAUGUCCCCUUAGGGCUGGGACAACAACGAGGAGAGAAGAUAACGUCCCCUUAGGGCUGGGACAACAACGAGGAGAGAAGAUAACGUCCCCUUAGGGCUGGGACAACAACGAGGAGAGAAGAUAACGUCCCCUUAGGGCUGGGACAACAACGAGGAGAGAAGAUAACGUCCCCUUAGGGCUGGGACAACAACGAGGAGAGAAGAUAACGUCCCCUUAGGGCUGGGACAACAACGAGGAGAGAAGAUAACGUCCCCUUAGGGCUGGGACAACAACGAGGAGAGAGGAUAACGUCCCCUUAGGGCUGGGACAACAACGAGGAGAGAGGAUAAUGUCCCCUUAGGGCUGGGACAACAACGAGGAGAGAAGAUAACGUCCCCUUAGGGCUGGGACAACAACGAGGAGAGAAGAUAACGUCCCCUUAGGGCUGGGACAACAACGAGGAGAGAAGAUAACGUCCCCUUAGGGCUGGGACAACAACGAGGAGAGAGGGGAGUAAAACAUCACCUUGGCAAUGUCACCUCCUAGAAAAACUCAAAUCAAAACAAAAAUAAAGCAAGCGGGAGAAAGUUAAGUAUGAAAGGAAUUGGCACUGGCUCAGACUCCCCGUUUGUCAUGCAGAUUUUAGCCAAGUUCUAUUAGAUAAGAGAAAGGGUGUUUUUGAAGUCCUCCAUCUACAAAGAUGUGGAAAUGCUUUAGAAUAGACAGAGAGAGACUCUUGAUUGAAGUGACUGGGGUGGGAUAGGAGGAGAGGAAGGAUGGCCCCCAAGAGGGCGCUAUGAAGUGUCAUCGGUGUUGAAACAGACUUCUGACGGAGCCAAGCUAAUAGGCAAACCCAAGGAUUUUUCAAAAGCAGUGCAUAAUAAAGGCAAUAAUUUGCCAUUUGGGAUGCAGUUCUAUACGCUGUCAGUGACGUGGGUCUCCCUAGGAGUCCUAUACGCUGUCAACAGUGACGUGGGUCUCCCUAGGAGUCCUAUACGCUGUCAACAGUGACGUGGGUCUCCCUAGGAGUCCUAUACACUGUCAACAGUGACGUGGGUCUCCCUAGGAGUCCUAUACGCUGUCAGUGACCUGGUCUCCCUAGGAGUCCUAUACGCUGUCAACAGUGACCUGGUCUCCCUAGGAGUCCUAUACGCUGUCAACAGUGACGUGGGUCUCCCUAGGAGUCCUAUACGCUGUCAACAGUGCCGUGGGUCUCCCUAGGAGUCCUAUACGCUGUCAAGUGACCUGGUCUCACUAGGAGUCCUAUACGCUGUCAACAGUGACGUGGGUCUCCCUAGGAGUCCUAUACGCUGUCAACAGUGACGUGGGUCUCCCUAGGAGACCUAUAUGCUGUCAACAGUGACGAGGUCUCCCUAGGAGUCCUAUACGCUGUCAACAGUGACCUGGUCUCACUAGGAGUCCUAUACGCUGUCAACAGUGACGUGGGUCUCCCUAGGAGUCCU